RNAcentral lists this transfer RNA (83 nucleotides) under Crepidotus variabilis. It matches the Rfam family "tRNA". From Rfam's summary of the family: Transfer RNA (tRNA) molecules are approximately 80 nucleotides in length. Their secondary structure includes four short double-helical elements and three loops (D, anti-codon, and T loops). Lineage: Eukaryota; Fungi; Basidiomycota; Agaricomycetes; Agaricales; Crepidotaceae. The record is from Rfam by way of RNAcentral.
GUCGGUAUCGAUUAGGGGUUAAAUCACUUCGUUGUGGUCUACAUGGCUCCGAAGAGCCGCUGGUUCGAUUCCAGCUACCGACA